AUGGCUAAUCUUCAAAAUCAUGCUACGAAAGCCAGUUCAGGAAUGCAAAUCAAACUUGCUGUAGUUCAUAAGAGUCAGACCUUUACCAACAUUGAACCUUCUCUACCAAGAACCUUAACUACAGAUAGCCUUCCAAUUCCCGUUGCCCCUGCAAGAUUUUUGAGCAAUGGUCUUCAGAUGGUUGAGUUUUUUUGGAAGAAUAGCGCUUACUAA
Non-coding RNA from Vicia faba (fava bean), 213 nucleotides. The record is from the annotation of a GenBank genome assembly. Lineage: Eukaryota; Viridiplantae; Streptophyta; Magnoliopsida; Fabales; Fabaceae.